This 467-nucleotide ribosomal RNA is filed under the name uncultured bacterium. Its description in RNAcentral is "partial 16S ribosomal RNA". It matches the Rfam family "Bacterial small subunit ribosomal RNA", at positions 28 to 507 of the family's 1533-position model. The record is from RNAcentral.
GAUGAACGCUGGCGGCGUGCUUAACACAUGCAAGUCGACCGGAAAGGCUCCUGCUUGCCGGGGUACUCGAGUGGCGAACGGGUGAGUAACACGUGGGUGAUCUGCCCUGCACUUCGGGAUAAGCCUGGGAAACUGGGUCUAAUACCGGAUAGGACCACAUUUUGGAUGGUGUGGUGGAAAGUUUUUCGGUGUGGGAUGAGCUCGCGGCCUAUCAGCUUGUUGGUGGGGUAAUGGCCUACCAAGGCGUCGACGGGUAGCCGGCCUGAGAGGGUGUACGGCCACAUUGGGACUGAGAUACGGCCCAGACUCCUACGGGAGGCAGCAGUGGGGAAUAUUGCACAAUGGGCGCAAGCCUGAUGCAGCGACGCCGCGUGGGGGAUGACGGCCUUCGGGUUGUAAACUCCUUUCGCUAGGGACGAAGCGUUUUUGUGACGGUACCUGGAGAAGAAGCACCGGCUAACUACGUG